UACGGGGGGGGCAAGCGUUGUCCGGAAUUAUUGGGCGUAAAGAGCUUGUAGGCGGUCUGUCGCGUCUGCUGUGAAAAUCCGGGGCUCAACCCCGGACUUGCAGUGGGUACGGGCAGACUAGAGUGUGGUAGGGGAGACUGGAGUUCCUGGUGUAGCGGUGAAAUGCGCAGAUAUCAGGAGGAACACCGAUGGCGAAGGCGACUUCCUGGCCUGUUCUUGACGCUGAGGCGCGAAAGCUAGGGGAGCAAACGGG
This 253-nucleotide ribosomal RNA is filed under the name uncultured bacterium. RNAcentral describes it as "partial 16S ribosomal RNA". It matches the Rfam family "Bacterial small subunit ribosomal RNA", at positions 524 to 776 of the family's 1533-position model. The record is from RNAcentral.